CGGGGUGUAGCCCAGUUGGUCCAAGGCGCUGGCAUGGGGUGCCAGAGAUCGGGAGUUCAAAUCUCCCCACCCCGACCA
RNAcentral lists this transfer RNA (78 nucleotides) under Candidatus Jacksonbacteria bacterium. Its description in RNAcentral is "tRNA-Pro". It matches the Rfam family "tRNA". From Rfam's summary of the family: Transfer RNA (tRNA) molecules are approximately 80 nucleotides in length. Their secondary structure includes four short double-helical elements and three loops (D, anti-codon, and T loops). The record is from RNAcentral. Lineage: Bacteria; Candidatus Jacksoniibacteriota.